UUCCUACGGGGGGCAGCAGUGGGGAAUAUUGGGCAAUGGGCGCAAGCCUGACCCAGCAACGCCGCGUGAAGGAAGAAGGCUUUCGGGUUGUAAACUUCUUUUCUCAGGGACGAAGCAAGUGACGGUACCUGGGGAGGAAGCUCCGGCUAACUACGUGCCAGCAGCCGCGGUAAUACGUAGGGAGCAAGCGUUGUCCGGAAUUACUGGGUGUAAAGGGAGCGUAGGCGGGAUGGCAAGUUGGGUGUUAAAUCUACCGGCUCAACUGGUAGUCGCACUCAAAACUGCUAUUCUU
RNAcentral lists this ribosomal RNA (292 nucleotides) under uncultured bacterium. RNAcentral's name for it is "partial 16S ribosomal RNA". It matches the Rfam family "Bacterial small subunit ribosomal RNA", at positions 336 to 643 of the family's 1533-position model. The record is from RNAcentral.